CGAGCCCGCCCUACCAACCCCGUGGCGCCGGAGGCGGAGUCGGGCUGCCCCCUGAGUGGAACGGGCGGGCUGAGGCAGCUGCCUCACUAUGGGCAGAGCCAUGGGACUGGCUGGAGCGCUCCUGGGGCUCGUCGUGAUCCCCGCCGUGCUGGUGAGCACCAGUCUCCGACACGGCGCCCCGCGGACCGAGGCCGAGCCGGAGCCGUCCGGCUGGGAGCUGGCGGCAGACGCCGUCCCCGAGGACUCGCUGUGGCCGCUGCCGCAGUGGGUCCGCACGUACCCUCGCCAGCUGCAGCUAGCGCCCAGCCGCUUCCAGCUGGUGCAUGGCGCCGGCUCCUCGGCGGGGCCGGGCUGCGGGCUGCUGCAGGACGCCUUCCGCAGGUACUAUGAGUACAUGUUCGGGCAUUCCCGGCGGCGGAUGUGGAGCCGCAGGCCGCUGGCUGCCCGAGCGGAGCCCGAGCUGUUCCAGCUGCAGGUGGUGAUCGAGGCGGGGGACCCUGGCUGUGACAGGCACCCGCACCUCACCUCCAGCGAGGCCUACCAUUUAACUGUAACUGAGCCUGUGGCUAUACUGAAAGCUUCUGAGGUAUGGGGUGCUUUAAGAGGUUUGGAAACCUUCAGCCAGUUGGUUCAUGAAGAUGACUAUGGAAGCUUUCUUGUCAAUGAAUCUGAAAUCAAUGACUUCCCAAGAUUUGCUCAUAGAGGAGUCUUAUUAGAUACUUCAAGGCAUUAUUUACCUUUGAAAUCUAUUCUUACAAACCUGGAUGCCAUGGCUUUUAAUAAAUUCAAUGUUCUCCACUGGCAUAUAGUAGAUGAUCAGUCCUUCCCUUACCAGAGCAUUUAUUUCCCUGAAUUAAGUGAUAAGGGGGCAUACUCCUCUAAUCUCAUCUAUACUCCUACUGAUGUCCGUCUGGUGAUUGAGUAUGCCCGGUUAAGAGGCAUCAGAGUUAUCCCGGAGUUUGAUACGCCAGGACACACGCAGUCUUGGGGAAAAGGUCAAAAAGAUCUUCUCACUCCUUGUUACAAUGGAGGACAGCCAACUGGGUCCUUUGGACCCGUAAAUCCUGUUUGGAAUACAACUUAUGACUUCAUGACUAAGUUCUUUAAGGAGAUCAGCGGUGUAUUUCCAGAUGAAUUCAUUCAUUUGGGAGGAGAUGAAGUGGACUUCAGUUGUUGGAAAUCUAACCCUGAGGUGAAAGAGUUCAUGAAGAAGCAAGGUUUUGGCAUUGACUAUGCUAAACUGGAAUCUUACUAUGUUCAGAACAUUUUGGACAUUGUUUCCUCCUACAACAAAGGACAAAUGGUCUGGCAAGAAGUGUUUGAUCACAAAGCACAACUGAAACCAGACACUGUAGUUCAAGUGUGGAUGGCAAAUAACUACGCUCCUGAACUGAGCAGGGUCACAGGAGCUGGGUUCACUGCUGUCCUGUCAGCACCGUGGUACUUAGAUUACAUUAGUUAUGGGCAAGACUGGAAGAAAUACUACAGUGUUGAACCACUUAACUUCCCUGGAUCUGAAGAACAGAAGAAACUUUUAAUAGGUGGAGAAGCUUGCCUGUGGGGGGAAUUCGUGGAUGCAACUAAUCUGACACCAAGAUUAUGGCCUCGAGCAAGUGCUGUUGGGGAAAGACUCUGGAGCAGCAGCAAUGUGACCAACUUGCAGGAUGCCUACAAAAGGCUAACUAAUCAUCGAUGCCGCAUGCUCCGCCGUGGCAUAGCAGCCGAACCGGUGUUCGUUGGAUACUGUGCCCAUGAAGCAAGAGGGCCAUAACUGCUGCAAAGACUUCUUGUCAACAGCCUGAAGUGCCUCAGGGGUACGAAUACUGGUACAGCAGCGACUACAACUCUGUUAUCUUGACGAGACUGGAUUUCCUGAAUAUUACCUCUCCGCUGUGCAAGAUCAGCAAGUGC
RNA transcript from Vidua macroura (Pin-tailed whydah), 1911 nucleotides. It is a transcript of the gene named hexosaminidase subunit beta, with no coding region annotated. Lineage: Eukaryota; Metazoa; Chordata; Aves; Passeriformes; Viduidae. The record is from RefSeq and is a predicted model, not a curated record. The transcript has 15 exons.